GACAGAGGGUGCAAACGUUGUUCGGAAUUACUGGGCGUAAAGCGCGUGUAGGCGGCUUGGUAAGUCGGGUGUGAAAGCCCUGGGCUCAACCUAGGAAGUGCACUCGAAACUGCGUAGCUAGAGUCCUGGAGAGGAAGGUGGAAUGCUUGGUGUAGAGGUGAAAUUCGUAGAUAUCAAGCGGAACACCGGUGGCGAAGGCGGCCUUCUGGACAGUGACUGACGCUGAGACGCGAAAGCGUGGGGAGCAAACAGG
This 253-nucleotide ribosomal RNA is filed under the name uncultured bacterium. RNAcentral's name for it is "partial 16S ribosomal RNA". It matches the Rfam family "Bacterial small subunit ribosomal RNA", at positions 524 to 776 of the family's 1533-position model. The record is from RNAcentral.